UGUUGUGAAGAUUAUUCUCGGAUAUGUGUUACAGCCCUGUUUGUUUCUCUGGUUUCGCCAAAAGGUUCAGACUUGGUUCUGAUUUAAAAAAGGGUCAUGUGACUUUUCAUGGUGUUGAAUCAUGUGAUUCAAGUUUUCAGACAUUGUUCUGAGUUGUAUAGAGUUUUGUAACUCUUGGUUUUUUAUCAGAUAUGUGUUAUAUAUGGUUGUUUCUGAAUCAUAUGUUUUUGUCUUAAUUAGAACGUUUUUCUCAGAUUUUUGUCUGUGAUGUUAUAGUUACUUAGUGAGUUUCAUGACUUGUUAGUGAGUUUAAAGUCAAUUUGCUAUAUUUGAAUUCAUGUGACUUUAUCAUAUGUUGUUGAUAUAUGGUACGGUGCUUGUGAUUAUAUGAGUUAGCUGUUUAUGUUUCUUUCUAUUGCUACAUCAAAUUUGGUGGCCCAUGCAGGUCUCGAACCUGUGUUUUUCUGGAGCUAAGAAUGCACAUAUGUUAUCAGCAUCAAACACAUAUGUUCAGAUUCGAGGCUUGGCAUGACCCUCAAUUCUUGUUGGAUGG
Molecule: long non-coding RNA, 553 nt
Filed under: Helianthus annuus (common sunflower)
Lineage: Eukaryota; Viridiplantae; Streptophyta; Magnoliopsida; Asterales; Asteraceae
Source: RNAcentral